CAUGCAAGUCAAGGCGUAGCCGAAAGGCUACGACUGGCGCACGGGUGAGUAACGCGUAGGUAACCUACCCCUACCCCUGACAUAACACCGAGAAAUCGGUGCUAANAUCAGAUGAGGAGCCGAAAGGCUUCAAAGGGGCAACCCGGGUAGGGAUGGGCCUGCGUCCGAUUAGGUAGUUGGUAGGGUAAAAGCCUACCAAGCCGACGAUCGGUAGCUGGCCUGAGAGGGUGGUCAGCCACACUGGGACUGAGACACGGCCCAGACUCCUACGGGAGGCAGCAGUGAGGAAUAUUGGGCAAUGGGCGAAAGCCUGACCCAGCGACGCCGCGUGUGGGAUGACGGAGCUCUGCUUCGUAAACCACUGUCGGAGGGGAAGAAAAGCUCCCACGGGGAGCUGGGACUGUACCCUCAGAGGAAGGAUCGGCUAACUACGUGCCAGCAUCCGCGGUAAAACGUAGGAUCCGAGCGUUGUCCGGAAUCACUGGGUGUAAAGGGUGCGUAGGCGGGCUUGCGCGUCAAGGGUUAAAGACCUCGGUCUCAACCGAGGCAAUGC
This 553-nucleotide ribosomal RNA is filed under the name uncultured bacterium. RNAcentral's name for it is "bacterial SSU rRNA". It matches the Rfam family "Bacterial small subunit ribosomal RNA", at positions 54 to 624 of the family's 1533-position model. The record is from RNAcentral.